GUUUCUGGUUGCGGGACAUCACCGUGUUGUUGUGUUUUGUCGAGUGAAAACUGCGGUUCUGGUCCUGCUGGGCUCCAAGUCUGAGCUUCUGCUGCAGCCACAGCAUCUUCUCCAUCCGCAUCCUGAGAGUGGAGGACGGCGAGCCGCCACCAGUCCACGCCGUCAGCGCGUUGUGUCUGUGCCACCUGGCAGGCUCUGAGCGCAGCUCCAGGACCCAGAACAAAGGAGAGGACCUGAAGGAGGCUGGAAACAUCAACGCCUCGCUGCUCAUUCUGGGCAAAUGCAUCAAGGCUCUGCAGCACAACCAGCACACUG
Long non-coding RNA from Fundulus heteroclitus (mummichog), 315 nucleotides. RefSeq lists it as uncharacterized. Lineage: Eukaryota; Metazoa; Chordata; Actinopteri; Cyprinodontiformes; Fundulidae. The record is from RefSeq and is a predicted model, not a curated record. The transcript has 3 exons.